ACAGAGGGAAUGUCCCUCACUCUGUCCUGUGUGAUUGUGAUUCAUGUGAUCAGUUCAUUCUGCUCAUUGAUGUGUCGUAUUUUUCCCAUCAUCCAAGAUGAAAAGGCUUCAGCAGUUUGUGGAGAAAAAGAAAGUUGAUCACAAGUUCAAGCAGGCUGGAUCUGGCCACAGACUUGACGAGCAGCGACAAAUGCCUGUUGCUACAAGUUCCCAGCAGCAGCAAGUUCGUGUGACCCCAGCACCAAGUGCAGCACGAGCUGGCGAGGCAGCCUUAGCAAGGCUUCAACCAGACCGGCCAGCAUCAGCAGCCAAAAUGAAACAACUCAAAGCAAAGGCCGCAGCCGAGAGAGAAGCAGAACAAGCGGCUAUGGACAGGAUGAACAACCCGACAGUGUCCUCGCGGGCAUCAGGCAGGUCAACUUCUCCCGAGCAGCCAGCUUUCCAUGAUGACCAAGCCCCUGUUUCUGUGAGUGGCAUCUUCUAUCAGUGCCCGCUGGGCUGUUCUCCAGUCAUUCCAAAAGCGUCGGUGGACGAACACCUGCAGAUGUGCCUGCUGACCAGGUUGCUUCCUGAAAAUCCCCUAGAGGCUUCGGCCAAAAUGGUCCACACCUAUAAUAAGGACAAGGAAAAACGCCAGGCUGGAAUAGACAUCAUGUGCAAAUAUUUAGAGAACGUGUGCAAUAAUCUUGCCGAGGAGAAGUACCAGAGGAUCCGCAUGGGUAACAAGGCCUACGUGGAGAAGGUGGCGUGUCUCGAAGGCUCACACGAGUUCUUGCAAGCGGUGGGAUUUUUACCCAAGAUGCUGCCCCACCAAGAGACGGAAGAGGCUUUCUUAGUGUUGACCCCCGAAGCAGCAGCCAACAUAGAGCAGCUGAGGUCGGCAUGCGAGCUCUUACAGACAGCCCAACCCUUGAAGGCUUCCCUCCAUCGGGACCUGAAGGUCUAUCAGAAGUCCUCUCAGGCCAGCCAGUUCCAACUGCCCCAGGACUUCUACAGAAUCAAACCGGAAGAGGCCAAGAGACAACAGCAACUCAGGACUGAGGAAGUAGAACGCAAUGCCGUGCUGCGGACCAAAGCUAUGAAGGAGGCUGAGGCACUCAGGAAUCUACGGAGAUAUCGAUACGCUCUGAUCCGAGUCCGGUUCCCCAAUGGAAUUCUCCUCCAAGGUGCUCACUUAUCAAUGACUGGCAGCCCUUCAUUCUGACUGAUGCAACAGGACUGAAACUAACGGAGGAAGACUGCAAGUUGGCUGAGCUCAAGCUGGCACCAGCGGCUGUUGUCAACUUUUCAUGGGACGCAGCGAUCAUGGAAGAAAUUGUGGCAGCCCAGGGGUUCGUGCAAGAGGGUGAUUACCUCAAACCAGAGCUCAUCAAUGCAAUCCAAAGUCUCUGAGCCGUGGAG
Molecule: unclassified non-coding RNA, 1401 nt
Filed under: Patiria miniata (bat star)
Lineage: Eukaryota; Metazoa; Echinodermata; Asteroidea; Valvatida; Asterinidae
Description: uBX domain-containing protein 6-like, transcript variant X2
Source: RNAcentral